CCUACGGGAGGCUGCAGUGAGGAAUAUUGGUCAAUGGUCGGGAGACUGAACCAGCCAAGCCGCGUGAGGGAUGAAGGUACAGAGUAUCGUAAACCUCUUUUGUCAGGGAACAAAGGCGGGGACGUGUCCCCGGAUGAGUGUACCUGAAGAAAAAGCAUCGGCUAACUCCGUGCCAGCAGCCGCGGUAAUACGGAGGAUGCGAGCGUUAUCCGGAUUUAUUGGGUUUAAAGGGUGCGCAGGCGGUCUGUUAAGUCAGCGGUCAAAGCCCGGGGCUCAACCCCGGCCCGCCGUUGAAACUGGCAGUCGCGAGUUGGAGAGAAGUAUGCGGAAUGCGCGGUGUAGCGGUGAAAUGCAUAGAUAUCGCGCAGAACUCCGAUUGUGAAGGCAGCAUGCCGGCUCCACACUGACGCUGAGGCACGAAAGCGUGGGUAUCGAACAGGAUUAGAUACCCUUGUAGUC
RNAcentral lists this ribosomal RNA (459 nucleotides) under uncultured bacterium. Its description in RNAcentral is "partial 16S ribosomal RNA". It matches the Rfam family "Bacterial small subunit ribosomal RNA", at positions 338 to 795 of the family's 1533-position model. The record is from RNAcentral.